RNAcentral lists this long non-coding RNA (487 nucleotides) under Eucalyptus grandis. RNAcentral describes it as "long non-coding RNA (EGRA_LNC004558)". The record is from RNAcentral. Lineage: Eukaryota; Viridiplantae; Streptophyta; Magnoliopsida; Myrtales; Myrtaceae.
UAGGAGCAAUCGAACAGAAAAUUUAAUAGUCGAGGAUCAGAAGUAUGUGGAAAACCCUAAUAAAAAGGUCCAUCGGCAGGCGGGGAUCUACUUGGAGCAACACCAAUCUUUCUCACCGCCAUCACCCCGGAUCUGCUUUCUCCUGAAAACAAGCGUCUAUUUAGUCUCCAACUCAUACAUUAUUGUCUUCAAACUUUGAAUUCUAAAAGAAUAUAACUUUCGAAAUGUGAAACCGAUCUCUUUUGUACCCCGAAAGCAGACCGUUCUUAAUCAUCACAUCGGCUGUUUAUCCCUCCAGCCCACAAUUUGCGUUUUCUCGUUAGUGCAUGCAUCUAUAGAGGGUGAAGUGCUUACCUUUGCUCGCUGGGUGGGUGGUGGCGGCGACCUUCAAAGAGAUGAUCACGUGAGAUGAAAGGGCUAGGAAAAGAAGGAAGACGAGAUAGGCCUUGUGAAGCAUCAUUCUCUCUCUUGGAAUGUAUGAUUCUAC